This is a long non-coding RNA of Triticum aestivum (bread wheat), 2172 nucleotides long. RefSeq lists it as uncharacterized. The record is from RefSeq and is a predicted model, not a curated record. NCBI's taxonomy places the organism in Eukaryota, Viridiplantae, Streptophyta, Magnoliopsida, Poales, Poaceae. The transcript is spliced from 2 exons.
GCUCUAGUUAUCCAGACGAGGCGUCGAGCCGUCGAUACACGCAGGAUUCGACGGAGCGGGCGGUCAGCGUCGAUGCAGCCGAGGCGUCGAUCCAGCAGAGGCGCGAUUCGGGAUGUAGCCGAUGCGACGCUCGCGAGGUGAUCCGGUGCGUGAGGGAGGCUAGGCGCUCUAGCGACAGAGAUGCUGGAGAUGGGGCCUGAUGAUGAUGAUGAUGCCAUUUUUUGGCUGGCGUGAACCUGGUGUUCUUGAUGUGGAUGAUGCAGCAGGAAAUGCCACACUGGCCAAGGGACAACAACAUGAGCAAAUGAACUGGACACUCCUAUUGGGGAUGGUUGAGCCGCUAUAAGACAUAUAUUCAUAUUUCAGCUGUUAUAAGUACCACACGCCACAUUUGACAUCUUGUAUUGCCAAUACACAAGCAAUUAUAAUAUGCGUUCCAAACAGAAUACGUGUGAAGAACAUGAACAAUACUCUUCCAUUUUUAGUGAUCUAAACACUCUUAUAUUUCUUUAUAGAGGGAGCAGUAGAUAUGGGCGCUGUGUCCAAAGCACUGUCCAUUUUAUCGAAAACGAGUCCCUCAAGACUCUUCUGAAGAUAAUCUCUCUUCCUGUGUCAAUGCCUUUCAUACUGCUAUCAUAAGAUAAAGUCUGUAGCUACGUUUGCUUAAGUACAACUCUUGUUUCAGUUAUAGGCUUAUGGUUUAUGCAUCUUGGUCAUGUUCUGAACUUGAAGCGAUGUAAAAACCAAUCAUCAUAACCAAAUGUCUCAUCUAUGAAAGCUAAGUUAAGCUAUACUCGUGUGAGGUUCUCCACCUAAUACUCUUAGUACUAAAUUUGUAGGCGAGCAGUCAUAUACCCUAAAAGAUAAAGAAACUAAGUUUAUUCAUGGUGCAUUAUAGCCAUUUGUAUGUAGUACAAUAGUAGUAUAUUUGCAUAUGUUCUAUCUGAAACCCAAUUGGUGAAACCCAAUUGGUCAGUAUGUUUUCUUGUUAUUACAUCUCUGAUUAGUUUACUUUCUUAAAUAAUUUAGCUCCUAAUAUUUAUCACUUUUCCGAACAGACAUGUUAACCAGGUAUGUUGUCUUCGUGGUCAUCUGUACAUAUGCUAAUGUGAGCUUUAGCAUUGUAAAUUAACCUUCAUAUUUGUAUGUUUUAUUUGCAGUGCACUGUUUGUGAUUUAAUCAUUCACCCAACUGGUAGGAUCUGAAUCUGGUGGACUCCAUACGAUGGCUAUUUAUGUGAGUAGAUAGCUUCACCUUGGCUUGCUGUGAGUAUGGCAACGUCGGUUAUCACUCUCUUCUUCUUUGUUAAAAUCUAGGCGCAGGUCUCUCUUCUUUGGUGAAUCAUUCCGUUGGGGCACUCCAUCCCCUGUGAAUGGGUACAUUACCCAUCUAACUUCAGCCAUCAGCUUUGCUCUGGUAGAACCUAUUUCUCACUCCACGAUCUGAUAGUACAGCAUUUUGCUCACUCCAUGAUUUGAUAGUACUACAUUUUGCAGAUACCAAGAAAACCUCCAUAUUCAGUUGUACUUGUAGACUUGUAGUGUAGUAGUCCAUUGCUGAAUUGUAUUGCACUUUGCUUCUGGGUAUAGAACUACAUAUCACAUGGACCUUUCCCUGGAAGCAAGCAAACAUUUUUGACUCGUGAGGUGUAACUUGUCAUGUCUCUUUUAGAAUUUUAGAAAUGGUACCAAACUUACAGUACAAAUGGAGUCAAUGUUUAGUUAAAACUUGUUAAACAUUUUUUGUCGCUAAUGUAUUUGUGUCUUAUGUACUAUAUAUUGUAGUGUUUUCAUGCAAUUAGGCUAUUUUGUUGCAAAACAAAAAUAUAUAGCUGUGUUAAGUUUUCUCAUGGAUGAGUGACCACCUGAAGGUGCUUUGCUAUAGUAUGCAGUUCUCUCAAACUAAUCCAUGAUAUAUGGUAUGUAGUUCUCUCAUGGAUGAGUGACCACCUGAAGGUGCUUUGCUAUAGUUCUUGUUCCAUUAUUCAGUGACAUAUCACAUUGACUUUCUAUGGCCUUAAAGAAAAGGCUGCGGUUAAUUUCUAUGAAUGAGAUAGUAACUACCAAAGGUGUUGUUAUUUUGGGCAGGUUGCAGAUUUGGCUAUUUAUGUAUGUUAUUUUAUUAUAAUCUGUAUCUGGUGUAUGCAAAUAGUUGACGUGUUGACAUUUUUUC